UACGGAGGGGGCUAGCGUUGUUCGGAAUUACUGGGCGUAAAGCGCGCGUAGGCGGCCCUGCAAGUCGGGGGUGAAAGCCCGAGGCUCAACCUCGGAACUGCCUUCGAUACUGCGGGUCUCGAGUCCGGGAGAGGUGAGUGGAAUUCCUAGUGUAGAAGUGAAAUUCGUAGAUAUUAGGAAGAACACCAGUGGCGAAGGCGGCUCGCUGGCCCGGUACUGACGCUGAGGCGCGAAAGCGUGGGGAGCAAACAGG
RNAcentral lists this ribosomal RNA (253 nucleotides) under uncultured bacterium. RNAcentral describes it as "partial 16S ribosomal RNA". It matches the Rfam family "Bacterial small subunit ribosomal RNA", at positions 524 to 776 of the family's 1533-position model. The record is from RNAcentral.